GUUAAGAUAGAUUUCUUCUUGGUUUCCCCGAAAUUGCAAGCCAGGUAGUUCGAAUUGCAAAUUGUAGAUCCGAUAGCUAUAAAACGUCUAGCAAAAUCUCCGGGCGGCAUCAGUCGUCUUGGCGAAGUGUUGUUAGAAAGUGUUGUUUCCUGUGCAAAACGUGUGAAAGUUAAAAAUCGAAAUGAAAUUCCUGAUUAUGACCAUCUGCCUGUUCGUGCUGGCCUUCGCCCUGGUGUCGGCGGCAACCAACGAUGAAACUAUUCUUGGGAGCUACGGCGCCGAUGAGGUCGUAAACCCACAGGACCCCUCGGAAAUCCUCCUUCUGAAGAAGAAGCUCCUGCUGAAGAAGCUGCUGCACCUUGGUUAAGAAAAAACAACCUCACGCUCCCCAAUCGUGUGUGCCAUUCUUAGGUUAAUUGAAAAUACUGUUUAGGCUGUAAAAAAUUGUAGGCAAAACCCGGAAUCCAAUAUCCUACCACUAAGUGUUAAUCACAGUUAUACCAAUCAUUGGCUCAUCUUCAGUCCGGCCUCAAAACUGCCCCGUCAUGACAAUAGCAGAUAUGUACUGAAUAAUAUGCUCAAUAGACGCCACGCUUUUUGUGAUAAAUAGGAAA
This is a long non-coding RNA of Aedes albopictus (Asian tiger mosquito), 614 nucleotides long. RefSeq lists it as uncharacterized. The record is from RefSeq and is a predicted model, not a curated record. The transcript is spliced from 2 exons. NCBI's taxonomy places the organism in Eukaryota, Metazoa, Arthropoda, Insecta, Diptera, Culicidae.